GCCUCCGUAGCUCAACGGACAGAGCGGCGAGUUUCUUACCUCGCAUCGGUGCGGGUUCGACGUCUGCCAGAGGCUCCA
Molecule: transfer RNA, 78 nt
Filed under: Mycolicibacterium fortuitum
Lineage: Bacteria; Bacillati; Actinomycetota; Actinomycetes; Mycobacteriales; Mycobacteriaceae
Description: tRNA-OTHER
Rfam family: tRNA
About the family: Transfer RNA (tRNA) molecules are approximately 80 nucleotides in length. Their secondary structure includes four short double-helical elements and three loops (D, anti-codon, and T loops).
Source: RNAcentral